Molecule: transfer RNA, 72 nt
Filed under: Candidatus Kuenenbacteria bacterium CG10_big_fil_rev_8_21_14_0_10_36_11
Lineage: Bacteria; Candidatus Kueneniibacteriota
Description: tRNA-OTHER
Rfam family: tRNA
About the family: Transfer RNA (tRNA) molecules are approximately 80 nucleotides in length. Their secondary structure includes four short double-helical elements and three loops (D, anti-codon, and T loops).
Source: RNAcentral
GGGCCUGUGGUGUAAUGGUAGCAUUACUGCCGUUGACACGCAGUGGUGCGGGUUCAAUUCCCGUCAGGUCCA